GAUGAACGCUGGCGGCGUGCCUAAUACAUGCAAGUCGAGCGAACAGACCAGGAUCUUCCUCCUCUGACGUUAGCGGCGGACGGGUGAGUAACACGUGGAUAACCUACCUACAAGACUGGGAUAACUUCGGGAAACCGGAGCUAAUACCGGAUAACAUGUUGAACCGCAUGGUUCAACAGUGAAAGACGGUCUUUCUGUCACUUAUAGAUGGAUCCGCGUCGGCUUAGCUAGUUGGUAAGGUAACGGCUUACCAAGGCAACGAUGCGUAGCCGACCUGAGAGGGUGAUCGGCCACACUGGAACUGAGACACGGUCCAGACUCCUACGGGAGGCAGCAGUAGGGGAUCUGCAGCAAUGGGCGAAAGCCUGACGGAGCAACGGCGCGUGAGUGAAGAAGGUCUUCGGAUCGGAAAACUCUGUUAUUAGGGAAGAACAAAUGUGUAAGUAACUGUGCACGUCUUGACGGUACCUAAACAGAAAGCAACGGCUAACUACGUG
This 497-nucleotide ribosomal RNA is filed under the name uncultured bacterium. RNAcentral describes it as "partial 16S ribosomal RNA". It matches the Rfam family "Bacterial small subunit ribosomal RNA", at positions 28 to 507 of the family's 1533-position model. The record is from RNAcentral.